AUGUCGGAUUAGGUUGUUGGUGGGGUAAAAGCCUACCAAGCCGACGAUCUGUAGCUGGUCUGAGAGGACGACCAGCCACACUGGGACUGAGACACGGCCCAGACUCCUACGGGAGGCAGCAGUGGGGAAUUUUGGACAAUGGGCGAAAGCSUGAUCCAGCAAUGCCGCGUGCGGGAAGAAGGCCUUCGGGUUGUAAACCGCUUUUGUCAGGGAAGAAACGCUCUGAGCUAAUACCUCGGGGUAAUGACGGUACCUGAAGAAUAAGCACCG
Molecule: ribosomal RNA, 270 nt
Filed under: uncultured beta proteobacterium
Lineage: Bacteria; Pseudomonadati; Pseudomonadota; Betaproteobacteria
Description: partial 16S ribosomal RNA
Rfam family: Bacterial small subunit ribosomal RNA
Source: RNAcentral